This 483-nucleotide ribosomal RNA is filed under the name uncultured bacterium. RNAcentral describes it as "partial 16S ribosomal RNA". It matches the Rfam family "Bacterial small subunit ribosomal RNA", at positions 28 to 507 of the family's 1533-position model. The record is from RNAcentral.
GACGAACGCUGGCGGCGUGCUUAACACAUGCAAGUCGAACGCUGAAGCUCAGCUUUUGUUGGGUGGAUGAGUGGCGAACGGGUGAGUAACACGUGAGUAACCUGCCUCCUUCUUUGGGAUAACGCCCGGAAACGGGUGCUAAUACUGGAUAUUCACUGGUCUUCGCAUGGGGGUUGGUGGAAAGGGUUUUUCUGGUGGGGGAUGGGCUCGCGGCCUAUCAGCUUGUUGGUGGGGUGAUGGCCUACCAAGGCUUUGACGGGUAGCCGGCCUGAGAGGGUGACCGGGCACAGUGGGACUGAGAUACGGCCCAGACUCCUACGGGAGGCAGCAGGGGGGAAUAUUGCACAAUGGGCGCAAGCCUGAUGCAGCGACGCCGCGGGAGGGAUGGAGGCCUUCGGGUUGUGAACCUCUUUCGCUCAUGGUCAAGCCGCAACAAUGGUUGUGGUGAGGGUAGUGGGUAAAGAAGCGCCGGCUAACUACGUG